Anoplopoma fimbria (sablefish) is the source of this 137-nucleotide small nucleolar RNA. RefSeq annotates it as small nucleolar RNA SNORA79. The record is from RefSeq and is a predicted model, not a curated record. The transcript has a single exon. Lineage: Eukaryota; Metazoa; Chordata; Actinopteri; Perciformes; Anoplopomatidae.
CGACGUCGGUUCCUCCUCCUGACUCAAGUGGAUCAGGAGGAUUUUACGACGUCGCAGAGAAACGAGUCUGUUUCACCCGGAGAGCUGCAGGCUGAGGCCCAACUCACGGCUCCUCGGUUUUGCGAGACUCGACAAAC